AGGAUAAACGCUGGCGGCGUGCCUAACACAUGCAAGUCGAACGCCCUACGCAAGUAGGGAGUGGCGGACGGGUGAGGAACACGUGGGUAAUCUGCCCUUCGGUGAGGAAUACCGGCGAGAAAUCGCCGACAAUACCGCAUGCGUUUCACGGAAGUGAAAGAAAGUCGUAAGACGCCGAGGGAUGAGCCUGCGCCCGAUUAGUUUGUUGGUGGGGUAAAAGCCUACCAAGACUACAAUCGGUAGCUGGUCUGAGAGGACGAUCAGCCACACUGGGAUUGAGAACGGCCCAGACUCCUACGGGGGGCAGCAGUGAGGAAUUUCGUCAAUGGGGGCAACCCUGAACGAGCAACGCCGCGUGCAGGAAGAAGGUUUUCGGAUCGUAAACUGCUUUUCUGUGGAAGAGAACGGACGGUACCACAGGAAGAAGCCCCGGCUAACGUACGCGCCAGCAGCCGC
RNAcentral lists this ribosomal RNA (456 nucleotides) under uncultured bacterium. RNAcentral's name for it is "SSU rRNA". It matches the Rfam family "Bacterial small subunit ribosomal RNA", at positions 26 to 518 of the family's 1533-position model. The record is from RNAcentral.